Long non-coding RNA from Scleropages formosus (Asian bonytongue), 1081 nucleotides. RefSeq lists it as uncharacterized. The transcript has 2 exons. NCBI's taxonomy places the organism in Eukaryota, Metazoa, Chordata, Actinopteri, Osteoglossiformes, Osteoglossidae. The record is from RefSeq and is a predicted model, not a curated record.
GCGAGCAGAACAUCUUCUCUUUUCACGCUCCAGGUCCCUGUCAAGGGUUAAACCCCAUCAGGUCUUUCACUUCCACCUCAGCACCAUCUCAGCAAACAAGCAGGUGACCUGACAGUACUCCGAAAGCACAGAAAGGGGAGUACAGGAGAGGCAGGGAGACGGAGAAAGACGAAAAGCACUGCAAAAGGGAAAGACGGCAACGACGCGACCACGUGAUGUCAGGCAAAUUGGUGGCAUCGAGCAGUUUCCUGCAGAGGUGUCUGUGCCAGCUGGCGGUUCUGCAUCGCGUAACGGGGAGUCUAAAAACGCGGAGCAUCACAGCAGACCUGCGCCCAGAAGGCUGCCCACCACGGUAGCUGUGGGAGGCACUGCAGGGUUUUCCUGUGAACCCGCUGCCCCACCUUGAUGAGAUCUGAUGGGGCAUCACCUCGGCUCUCUUUCGGCUCCUGUCAAAUCCGCACGCUUUAAGUACUUCAGAAAUACAGGUUAUAAGAAAAGCAGUUGAUUCGCAGAGGUAACCAAGCACUACUGAUCUAUACAGAAUUAUGUCUAGUGCUCUACGCUAUGUGUAUAUUGUGAGUCUGCAAAAUAAUGUACUCCUCCAGAGAUUUCUACAAGCUUUUGGGAUGUAUGAACACAGACAUUUCAGAUGAGUGUCACUGGAUAAGGUCAAUAUGUACCAACAAACUGAUUUAUUUUCUCCUUAUUGUUCUGCAUAUAUGCUGCUAUUGUUGAAGACAUUUUCAUUUUCUGUUGCCCUGAUAACACCACAGACUGAAUCUCCAACGUGUCAUUGCCUUAUCAGAUGUUUCCUGUUAGAAUUAGGGGUAUGUUUUAGAAAUGGUUUGUUCUUUUUGUUGUUCUUGCAAACAUUGGCUAGGAUUCGAUGGUUAUUUUAUUAAUGUAAAUCUCUGCAAUGAAACUCACAACAUGCAAUUAUCGUGUUUCAGUUUAUGGUUUAAUCAGGGCUUCAAAAAAUUAAAAUUUCAUCCCAUAAAUUCAAAUACAGCGAUAUGCAUGUUGACAACACGAUGCGCAAUCUGUAUUGUUAACCAAGUGAAAUAAAACUUAAUUACCAACA